RNAcentral lists this ribosomal RNA (253 nucleotides) under uncultured bacterium. Its description in RNAcentral is "partial 16S ribosomal RNA". It matches the Rfam family "Bacterial small subunit ribosomal RNA", at positions 524 to 776 of the family's 1533-position model. The record is from RNAcentral.
CACGUAGGAGGCGAGCGUUGUCCGGAAUCAUUGGGCGUAAAGAGCGCGCAGGCGGCUUGGCAAGUCGGGUGUGAAAUCCCGGGGCUCAACCCCGGGACUGCAUUCGAUACUGUCAGGCUAGAGGUAGGUAGGGGAGAUCGGAAUUCCUGGUGUAGCGGUGAAAUGCGCAGAUAUCAGGAGGAACACCGAUGGCGAAGGCAGGUCUCUGGGCAUUAACUGACGCUGAGGAGCGAAAGCAUGGGGAGCGAACAGG